RNAcentral lists this ribosomal RNA (5928 nucleotides) under Triticum aestivum (bread wheat). RNAcentral's name for it is "partial small subunit ribosomal RNA". Lineage: Eukaryota; Viridiplantae; Streptophyta; Magnoliopsida; Poales; Poaceae. The record is from RNAcentral.
CCUUCCCCUUCUUCCGCUCCCGUUUCGCGCAGAGUUCCGCGACCCCUGCGGCGCCGACCCGUAGACGACGACAUAUCUCGAGGUAGCUAGGGGUGAGUGCGUCGUCGUGAAGGUUUAAAGGUAAUCGAAAACCUUUAGGUAUGAUCUUCUAUCUAUAUAUCUAGACGACGACGACGAUGUAGUCUUAGCGGCGACGGACGGAAGAAACCCAAAGUACAGCAAAACUAAAUCCUGUAAAUAGGUUCCUCUGUACUAUACUCCGGGAUUCGUCCUUCGGAUGAUCUAGAUGACGAUAGGUCGGGGUCAACACUCUGGGAGUAGAUCGAGCAGCGCCCGCCGAUCGGAUCGGGACGGCCUCCCCUCUCCCCUCCUCGGCCACACCUUCCUGAACCUACCGCUACCAAGGACCAACUCCAAAGUCUUCCAGGUUCGAUCGACUAUAUUGUACUGACGUCUUUUCGCAUAUGGUAAUGUAUAGAAUGCACUCUAAUGUUUACCUAAGAGUCUCGUGAGUUCCUAACCUUCCCCGCCCAUACCUCUACAAAUGUUCCCUCAAAUGUCACCCUCUCUCUAACGACACUUCAACGAAGUACAACUAUGCCACGAUCCUGUACUACUGUCUGUUAUAUAGUUACUUCAACCAUUGGAAAACUUCCAAUUCGUAGGUUUAUAACAUGUCAAUGAACCAAUAACAAUACUUUAUGUCUUACUUGAUUAACUUGUGUUACCACGUUUAGUAAAAUGGGCUGUGCAUAUAUCUCAGGAGACGAAGCUCAUGAACGUCCCACCUUCGGAUCUGUUCGUAGAAGCACUUCUUAGAAAACGUGGACUAACCUCGUGCGCAAUGUUCUAAUAUUUCCCCUAAACACUUCCUAAUUUAAAGGAAGUGUCGACACUUGGUGGUUAGAAAGUAGAACUGGACUUCGGACGGUUAUAUAAUGAUCUGUCAAGGUACCGCGGAUUUGACCGCCUAAAACCAAACAGUUCCGAGAAGCCACCUAGUGUGUGAGUACAGUGUUUGUCUCAACAUCCUUGGCUCCGCAUAUACGGUGGUCUUAAGUAUUUUCUGCGGAUAUAGAGGGUAUUCUUACUACAGAAGUCAAAUCCAGAACACUACUAUCUCUAUUAAUUUCCCAGAAGUCCAAUGAGGCCAAUAUAUCUUUGUCUGCUUCAGCCCGUUAAAUGCGUUUUCCACGAACCGUUAACCUUCUUAUCCUAUUUCCGAUGAAGCCUCAUGGGUAAUCUCCUUAGUGUAGUUCACGUCUAUACGUAACUGUGUCGUUACGCAAAACAACUUGGACUGUCUUUGUUAGCUGGAUUAUAUCGUCUUCAAGACCUAUAAGACUCGUUCUGUCUUUGAGUAUAAGGGUUCUCUGUCUACCGUCUACACAAGGGCACAGGUUGUUAACCAGAGUUCUCGCUCAGAUUAUACAACCUCUACUACCAUCGACUUGAUUUGUUAUUACUUGUAUCUGUAACGUUAAACUACGGUUGUCUAUUGAGAUUGGCAUGACACGUCGUUGAACGACUGUCCCUUUGUAGUAGUCUACACCUUGUUCAUUAGUAGCCUUCCUGGUUCCUUUUUGUCUUUUAUAACAGAUAAAAUAGGCUCUCGUAGUGUCUUCUUUACCAGUAGGAAGGUUAUAUACCGUAACCUCCGUAACCGUUCUGUUGGAACCGUGUUAACCAUAAGUUACUGGGUUUCAAAGUUCUGAUGUGAGCCCACACCCAUAUACAAAGGGUCCUUAAGUUGAACUUGUUCUAACCGUUGAGGUAUUAUUGUGUCAAUUGUCUGUUCUAGUCGUUAUAUGGAUGGUUUGUCUACGAAGUAUUUGCGGAGUUUCUCGAUAAACUACCAUUCUCGUAGGAAUAACAAAAUCUACUGGACACCCUCCUCUUGGGUUUUCUCAAUCUAUUUUACUUCCAAUACGAUCCCGAACCGGAUCCUUCGUUCCACUAAUAUCAUUGAUGUGCACUACCUCCAGAUCGUUCCUUUAAAACAUCAGGACGUCAACGUGGUAUGUUCAACCUCUGAAACUGGCAAUUACUCACAACCUGAUAUUAUUUUGUUUUUCGACUGAAACUUCUGGCUUAGCUGGUUCUUGUUAACCUCGUAUAUCCUUCCCUCUAACGCUGGUUCACACCUCCUCACCGGAAUCGCCGGGUUAGUGAACCUAUGUACAACUUGCCGUACUCCAGUCUACUUACCCUCAGCCACUCUCUGUCAGUAUAAACCUUAGAAAGAUGAAGACACCCGGUACUUCACGAACGCAGGAAUGUCGACUCGAUGUCGGUGUACAGACGAACCAACUUCAACACGAAAAGGAUAACACGUUAGAAAGCUUUUCCAGUCUGUUAUCGGUUCAUACUAGAUUAAGUGGUUACCUAACGAGAACCUAAGCAACUCGUUAGAUCCUAUAAACUAAGAUACGUCGAGACGCUUUUAAUACAGUGAGUUGAAAACCCCUACAGGAAGGAAGUUAUAAGUUUCUAUGGAACCCCAAUAUGUGUUCUUCUGUUUAUAUAAUGUAAGAAGUGCUACGUACUGGAUCACGUACUAGAGCGUUCUCUCUAAAACCGGGUAGUUGAAUUGUGACUCCCUUUGUUAACGGCGAUACGUAACGAGUGUCUAACAUGGUUCAGUAACGUCGACAGACACCGAAAAGGACGUUUAUAUAUAAGCGACGUGAAAUCCCCGACAAUGCCUGUUCUUGAAACACUACCACGUAAGAGCAGUCGAUUCACGGAGGCACAAAACCUAAAUUCACUUACGAAUUAAUUCUUCAAUGGACUGACAUAACCAGUUGACUUCGUCAACUCUAAAGAAGCACGAGGUCCUUAGGCUAUACUUUACCAAGGGUCAACAUAAUGACUCGAGAGUGUCAAUUUAAUGGACUUGGAACCACUAAGACUAUUUUAGAGUCGUGACGGCCUCCGGUAACCACUAUACUGCGUAGAACUAAAUAGUCCAACACAACUUUAUGCACUUGAAAGUUAAAGUUAUAGUAAGCGUCUCGAGUUCGUCGACCAAGUAGACCUAAAUAGUGCGUCGUCACACAGAUGUCGUCUUCGAAACCCACCGACAUGGUUUGAAGUUAUAGACUUAAAUAGUCCAUUGUUCCUUGUAUAGCCUUCCGACAGUUUCCGGUAAUCGUUAGAUUAGUUUGAGUCCAUAAAUUUAGAUAGCCCCACGUACUUACGGUACCGCGGCCGUAGUCUUUUGCUUUAACAGUCUAACGAACUGAGACAGACAUGAGAAAGAUUAGAUCUCGUAGACCUGAACAGAUUCUUAUUUCGGAUAAGGUAGUCAUAUGGUCUUUCAUAACCGUUGGAGUACUUCGAAGUAUGUAACAUGGAGAAUCUGACGUGGUCUAACUUCGAAGGACGACUAGAACACCACGUACGAAGUUCACUAUUUAAAUCGUCGUUAUAGUCGGACGAAACAGAACUUCACGACUGCUAUAUAUCUGAGCUUUUACACUUCAGACGUCUUCUCCGUGCUACAUAUUUUGCCUGUUACGAAGCUACGGAAUUCCGUGGACGGAAACACAGAUACUGUACACCCGGGUUGUCCACCGACCGGGUGUACAGUUACUGGGUUUCCGUCCACGUCUAUGUUUUUUAAUAUCUCGAUUCUAAACUUACCUGACAGCACCCACCCUCCAGACACCUACUGUUCCUCCAUAACCUUUUUGAUCACGGUGGUUGGUCACACGUCUCUAACAUAUAUUCACCAAUAUCGUCACAGUCGCAAGGAUUAACCGAAUACCCAUAGUCCGUCGUAGAGGGAUUAGAAAGAGUCAAUAUAAAGACACUAAAAGGAUUGACGUUAUUGGAUGGUAGUGAACCAGUUGAUGGUAUGGAUGCUCUCGAUCCAGACACGGCGUACCUCUCGAACCUUCUCACCUUGUGCCGUAUAUGGUCACCGCUCGGAUUCGAACCCCGUAACUGGUAUCUAGUUACACGGUUCGACUCCUAUUUUGGUACACGUGGUUCUCGAUGCCAAAACACCUAUUAUCUAAGACUAUUACACGAUAGUAGUACCCUUCUCUUAAACAGUGUGCCACCACGAAGGAGAAGAGGUUAUUGUUUUGACUAACAGUUUUUGUCGUUCCACGGGAACGUAGUCACCUCCAACGAAGUGGUUGAGGGACGGGAGGCACUAAAUUGAUAGUGGCCAACGUCACUAGACUGGUGGAGUGGAUUCUAGUAGGUUGUCAAGAGGAGCGAACAUAGUAACAGGAAGCUGGUCCGUCUUAACGGCUCAACCAACCGGUUCCACUGUAGAGACGUCUAGGAUUCCGACAGACACACGUCUUCGUACUGCAGUGAUGGCGUCACCAAUCCUUUUGAACGGAGAGAGUUCCUUAACGUCUAGUACGCGACACUCCCCUAGUCCAGAAACGGACUGUCGUAUGUUGUUGACUGAUUCGAACUUGUCGAUUGGUAGGCACCGACGGGAUGUGAUCACUUUACCACACUUAGUCUGAGUCUCCUCUUGUUCUACUUCGAACGAGUGUAGUCUCCCUAGCAGGGUUCUAGUAACUACCGUGUCCUUCUCCUGUGUUGUUUCCGGUAAGAUCAUCGAGGGUAAGUACCAUGAUGACACUACCUACUCCGCCUAGGCCUACACGACAUAUCACGACACUACUUGUACGGGCCGAAACGACUCCUUAUAAACAAUCAACGAGACAGAGUCGACUACCUGUUGUGACGGGUCCCGAGGCGUAUAUACCGGUACUCGCUCCUCCUGGCCCAUAGUACCGAGUAAUUGAAGAACUUUUUUAUGAUGAGGGGGGCCGGGGUAAAUUAACUGCGCUGGGCGUUCGAUUCACCAUUUCGUGUGCUUCAUAUCCAGCCCUGUCAAUUAAUCUCGGUCUCCCUCAUGAUUCAAAAUUGACAACGACCAACCGCCAUUAAUAAAACGUCGUAAUACACUGACAUUUGUAUGACAUACAAAAAAACGACAGUAUUCACUUCUAUCUGCUCUAAAUGUCUGACGUUCAAAGUCACGUUGUGGAUGACAAAACAACGUCGUAGCAAAACACUUUUAACUCUUCUAUUUAGAGUUAACAAAUAGGUCAAGAGAUAGGGUGAGGGAAUGACAGCAAUUGUUUCUCCUCUUUACCCACGUCUACUACACGUCAAUCGUCUUUUUACCUUAUAUGACGUAAAACAUCGAUUACACCACUAGGACUUAGAAUGACCUAAAUAGGGCAAAGUGUUCACUACCAAAUCCACUCGCUUUCCUUCGAGUGUAGUCAUACGGGUCCCGAGACGUAUAUACCGGUACUGACUCCUCCUGGCUCAUAGUACCGAGCACUUGAUGGACUUUUCUAUGAUCAUUCAAACUUGACAACGACCGACCCCCAUUAAUCAAAUAUCCUACUACACUGACCUUCGUUUGAUAAAAAAAAAAACGACAAUGAGGGAGGCAAGGAUUUAUAAACAGAAAGAUCUCUAAAGUUGUUCACUGAUGUAUGCCUCGUUUUACUCACUUAGAUGUGAAAUUUUAUACAGAUAUAUGUAGGCAUACACCAUCAGAUAAACUUUAGAAAUUUUUCUGUUUAUAAAUCCUUGCCUCCCUCAUAUUGACUUCUAUCUACUCUAAAUGCCUGACGUUCACAGUCACGUUAUGGAUGAUAAAACAACAUCGCAACAAAAUACUUUUAACUCUAUUAUUUAGAGUCAACAAAUAAGUCAGGAGAUAGGGUGUUUCUCCUCUUUACCCACGUCUACUAAACGUCAAUCGUCCUUCUACCUUAUAUAAACAUCGAUUACACCACUACGACUUAGAAUAGCCUAAAUAAGUCAAAGUGUUCACUACCACAUCGUUUGACACUACACUUAUACAUGUAAAACGUCUUCAAUGAAACAUGCCGUAAAGAACAACCUAACCGAGUACGUAUUUACAAUUCUAAAGGUUGA